Non-coding RNA from Marmota flaviventris (yellow-bellied marmot), 1274 nucleotides. The record is from RefSeq and is a predicted model, not a curated record. NCBI's taxonomy places the organism in Eukaryota, Metazoa, Chordata, Mammalia, Rodentia, Sciuridae.
CAAAACAAGCUACCAGCAUGAGAAGAUCUAUCGUGGGGAUAGUCCUUUCUCCUUAAGUCAAAGAGCUCUCCAUGGACAUAUUCUGCAUGAACUUAUGACCUUGAAAGACUAUCUUUACCUCUCUACGAGCCUCUUCCAGAAGUCUAUCCAUAUACUUAUUGUGGGUGUGUGUGGAAUAAGAUAGGAAAAAUUAUCCUGUCUCUCAACUACCCCUUGAAGCCUACCCCAUUGUUGACUGAGGAAAAAACUAUUUUAUUUCUACUGGAAAUUAACAUAAAGGAGUACCUGUCUACAGCCCACCUUCUUUAUCUCUUUUCUGAAUAAUGAAUCCAUUUGAGAAUCUGUUGAAAUUAUGAGUCCUCUCUUCAUACUUGGAAUACCACAUGACAUUCAAGGCUCCUCUAGGCUAUGACAAGAAGUCUUGGGAGUACUCUUGCACAGAAGACCUGAGAUGCUGUUCUCAUCACAUUACAUCAGCAACACAUGCUAUCAACAAGACUUGUCAUUGUUAGUAUUGACCUUGAUCAUUUGACAAAGGUAGUGUUGGCCAGAUUUUUCUGUAAGAUUAUUCUUCCCACUUCUUUACUGUAUUCUUUGGGAGCAAGUCCCUAUGUGCAGUCCACAUUUAAGAGGUAAGGGUUUAUCCUCCAUCUCUCUGAGCAGGAAGUUUCUGCAUGUAUUGUUUGGAGUUUUUUCAUAUGGGAGAUUUGUCUUCUUCAUUUACUUAUUUAUUCAUUUAUAUAUUACAUCCUUAUGUAAAUAUAUAUUUAUACUUUUGAGUUCUAAUUUAAUGCUGUUAAAUAUACUCAUUUAUUUAUUUUUUGCUCAAAUUGUUCCAGGUUUGGUCACUAGGAGUUCUAUUAACUGUCCCUUUGACAUAUCCCAAUAUUAUUUCUGUGGGGGGUUGUCUUUUUUUUUAAUUUCUUGCAUUUUCUUCAUUUUUUUUAUCUGUAAGAUACUCCAGGCUCAUGUUGUUUAUUUCCGGUCCCUCCUUAGAAUCAACCAUUUCUGCAAGGAACCUGACUCCUUUUAUUGGAAAUAAAAUCUUGGCAAUAGAAACCAUGAUUUGGACAGCAAGUGUGUUCAUUACUAUUGGAGUGGCAUUACUUCUAGGCCAUCUCAGCUGACAGAGCAAGGAGAUACAUGAGAAUACUAAUCUGUAUAUGUACCCAUGUCUGUAUUUACCCAUAGGAAGUCAAACAUGAACUCAUACUGUCAUUCAAAUUCUAAUCCACAGGAUCACCUCAGCCUUCAGGAGACUACCUUUUAAUGAA